This is a long non-coding RNA of Clupea harengus (Atlantic herring), 626 nucleotides long. NCBI's taxonomy places the organism in Eukaryota, Metazoa, Chordata, Actinopteri, Clupeiformes, Clupeidae. The record is from Ensembl.
AGCAGGUUAUGUUGUGGUUCUUGUUUAGAUCUGGCAGGUUCUUGUUUAGAUCUAGCAGGUUAUGUUGUGGUUCUUGUUUAGAUCUGGCAGGUUCUUGUUUAGAUCUAGCAGGUUAUGUUGUGGUUCUUGUUUAGAUCUGGCAGGUUCUUGUUUAGAUCUAGCAGGUUAUGUUGUGGUUCUUGUUGUGAUCUGGCAGGUUCUGUUGUGGUUCUUGUUGUGAUCUGGCAGGUUCUUGUUUAGAUCUAGCAGGUUAUGUUGUGGUUCUUGUUGUGAUCUGGCAGGUUCUUGUUUAGAUCUAGCAGGUUAUGUUGUGGUUCUUGUUGUGAUCUGGCAGGUUCUGUUGUGUUUCUUGUUUGGAUCUGGCCGGUUCUGUUGCAGCCGCGUCAUCUACAGAGUUCAUCGCUAUAGUCGGUGUUGUUGUAGAAUUGUCUUCAGUUGCCUUCCAACUUUUUUCAUCCAUUUCUUUUGUUUGUUUUGUUUUGUUUUUUCAAACAUGGAAUCAAACCUGAAUUGUAUCCAUUGUCAGCUGCUUCUGAGUUCAACUGUUUAAAACAGAUUAAUUUGCACUCGAAUGCCUGAUUGCUUUCAAAGGGAUGAAUUGUUGUUAACAGAAUCAGAAAAACAGC